Molecule: ribosomal RNA, 266 nt
Filed under: uncultured Eubacteriales bacterium
Lineage: Bacteria; Bacillati; Bacillota; Clostridia; Eubacteriales
Description: uncultured Clostridiales bacterium partial 16S ribosomal RNA
Rfam family: Bacterial small subunit ribosomal RNA
Source: RNAcentral
AUGAUUUCCUAUUUGACUGAGCGGCGGACGGGUGAGUAACGCGUGGGUAACCUGCCUCAUACAGGGGGAUAACAGUUAGAAAUGACUGCUAAUACCGCAUAAAGCGUCAAAUUCGCAUGUUUUUGAUGCCAAAGGAGCAAUCCGCUUUUAGAUGAGCUCGCGUCUGAUUAGCUUGUUGGUGAGGUAACGGCCCACCAAGGCGACGAUCAGUAGCCGGCCUGAGAGGGUGAACGGCCACAUUGGGACUGAGACACGGCCCAGACUCC